Molecule: long non-coding RNA, 1632 nt
Organism: Formica exsecta
Lineage: Eukaryota; Metazoa; Arthropoda; Insecta; Hymenoptera; Formicidae
Exons: 3
Source: RefSeq, a predicted model, not a curated record
AACAAGUAGUAGGGGGACUCCCUCGCGAAACGCUGAUCGCCGAAUGCGCCUCGGCGAAAUUCAGAGCUGAAAAAGCCGCGGCUGAAAUAACGUGUCGGGUCGAACGAGGCCCGAGUUUCUCGUUUGCGAGUGUGUAUACGAUCGGUCGUUGCGGCGAGCCGCGACGCACCGUGGCCAGUGUCAUCGUGUAAUAAGCUGCGGGUAUCGCGUUAAUGCCAUUGUUGUGAUAGCGGUACCGCGGCGGUGGUGUUGUGAGCGGGCGGGGGAAGACAAGCGAGCAGGCAAGCAGGCAUAGGCUAGGGAAAACGGAAGAGAGGGUGGGGGAGUGAAGAGGUGACGCGAGGUAGCGAGACUGUGUGCGAGAGCGCAGAUACCCGCGCGCGCAGCCCAUACGUGUGGCACAAUGGCAACCUUGACACUUGGUGAUCGUUUUUGGCGGCUCCGCGCCGCGGAGAUCGCGCGUCCGGCGGCAUCGCGUCGUGAGUGAAAGCGGAGGGCACGCCUUGAGCAGCAGCAGCGGCAAACACAAGAGGAGGAGAAAAAAAGAAGACGGAGGAGGUGGAGGUGGUGGACGGACGGUAAAUGGUGCCGAAAGACGCGGGAGCGAUGCGUACGUAGACGUCGACAUCGGGACACGACGCAGGAGUCACGCAUCCGUUACAUCCGUGGAGUCGGCGUGGUCACGUGUACGCAUCGUGUGAAGACUUUGUUGACGUCGGAGGCUGUGAGGGAUGCGAUUUCCCGAGUUCGCGAGUGAUAGCCGUUGCAGCGCGACGGCUGUUGUGACCGCGUAGUCCCUCGCAUGUACGCACGUGGACAAUCUAUAAUAACGCAGUGCAUAGUCGUGCGCGCGUGAACUGACGGCUGGAAAUGCCGGUGUAAAGUGAAGAAACACAGACGCUACGCUCGAAACGAUCCGUAAUUCUUGCAUCUUGUAAUCCAACUUUCAUCCCGAAGAAACACGCAAAACAAGGCAAAAUGGCACAAAUGGAGCAGCAAUUACCGCUUCCAAUGCCAGAUUUAAGCACCCUUCGUAUAACUACAGCCGUUUCCAUGCUUGGCAAAGCGUAUGGAUGUGGCCAAUGUAAUGGUAAGUUCAAUUCCAAGAAUUGAAACAAAAAAACAAGGAAUGUAAGAAAUUUUAUAACGGAUCGCAAGGAACGUUUAUCUAUGCGCAUUUCUCUUUGAUAUUUCUGAUUAGUGAUAAAAAAAUAAAUACAUAGAUGGUCAUCUUCUUUAACUUGAAACAUUUUUAUAUCUGUGCAAAAUAUUCAGGAUAAUUAUUUAAAACUAUGUAAUAAUCCAAUUUAAUUAAUCAUCUUAAAACAUCUUAAUCGCUAUAUUAACUUUUCGUCUCAUCUACAUAAUUAUCGAUUGAAAACCGAAACGAAUGAUAGGAUUAGAUAAGGGAGAAUUCUAAAAAUAAAAGUAAAAGCAGGAAAUAACGUACAAGCUAUUCAAAAUGACGUUCACGCGGAUUGACUCGAUUGACAGCUGUUGUUAUCUGAUUUAAUGUAAAAACGAGAGAGAUGGAUAAUUCACGUCGCGAAUAGUAUCGAGCGCAGCCACGAUUGUGUACAAACGUCAAAUAGAAUCGGGACGGGCACACAGUUAGGGAAAAGUUGUCUCGUU